This 582-nucleotide ribosomal RNA is filed under the name uncultured bacterium. RNAcentral's name for it is "bacterial SSU rRNA". It matches the Rfam family "Bacterial small subunit ribosomal RNA", at positions 43 to 670 of the family's 1533-position model. The record is from RNAcentral.
CAGGCUUAACACAUGCAAGUCGAACGCCCCCGCAAGGAGGAGUGGCAGACGGGUGAGUAACACGUGGGAACAUACCCUUCGGUUCGGAACAACGUUUGGAAACGGACGCUAAUACCGGAUACGGCCUUUUGGGCGAAAGAUUGAUCGCCGAAGGAUUGGCCCGCGUUCGAUUAGCUGGAUGGCGGGGUAACGGCCCACCAUGGCGACGAUCGAUAGCUGGUCUGAGAGGAUGGCCAGCCACAUUGGGACUGAGACACGGCCCAAACUCCUACGGGAGGCAGCAGUGGGGAAUAUUGGACAAUGGGCGCAAGCCUGAUCCAGCCAUGCCGCGUGAGUGAUGACGGCCUUAGGGUUGUAAAGCUCUUUCGCACGCGACGAUAAUGACGGUAGCGUGAGAAGAAGCCCCGGCUAACUUCGUGCCAGCAGCCGCGGUAAUACGAAGGGGGCUAGCGUUGUUCGGAAUCACUGGGCGUAAAGGGUGCGUAGGCGGGCAUUUAAGUCAGGGGUGAAAUCCCGAGGCUCAACCUCGGAACUGCCCUUGAUACUGGGUGUCUUGAGUCCGGAAGAGGUGAGUGGAACUGC